GUCCACGCCCUAAACGAUGUCAACUAGUUGUCGGGACUUAAUUGUCUUGGUAACGCAGCUAACGCGUGAAGUUGACCGCCUGGGGAGUACGGUCGCAAGAUUAAAACUCAAAGGAAUUGACGGGGACCCGCACAAUCGGUGGAUGAUGUGGAUUAAUUCGAUGCAACGCGAAAACCUUACCUACCCUUUACAUGGAUCGAAUCCUACAGAGAUGUGGGAGUGCUCGCAAGAGAACGGUCGCACAGGUGCUGCAUGGCUGUCGU
This 263-nucleotide ribosomal RNA is filed under the name uncultured bacterium. RNAcentral describes it as "partial 16S ribosomal RNA". It matches the Rfam family "Bacterial small subunit ribosomal RNA", at positions 793 to 1055 of the family's 1533-position model. The record is from RNAcentral.